GUGUCUUACUGGAGAUCCCAGCCUACAAGAGGUCUUCUGUAGAUGUGAAGGUGACCAGCUGUUGGUUGAGUACUGCAGAGACCUUUGGAGAACCAUACGUGUUCAGCUGGGGAUGAAGGGCUAAAUUCAGACCAUUUGUGCUCUUGGCAUGAUACUCACCCUCAUCAGUGCUGUGUUUGCUUUAGAAGUCUGACUUAGCUGGCAUGUCUCCGUCAUUGGCUAAUGAGGAUUAAUUCUGAUUCUCUUCAGGCUUCAGAGAAACAGAUUGUGGAGGGGCUUUCAUCACAGGGGGAAUUAAGGAAGCUAGCAAAGCAUCUUAACCCAAACCACACCACUGAUGGCUUUCAGUCAAAAAGGAGGACAGAUGAGAUUAACCUAAAACCCCUUUGCUUCCUUGUGGGGACUAUAAACCCCAAUGCCAAGUGAGAGAAGAAUGCAGGAAAAGAAUCAUUUUAAUGUGGAUGUGUAAGAAACUGGACCACCAAGUCCAUUCCACAUCGGCCACUGAGCAGUCAUCAGAGGGUGUUGACUUUUGACCACUACUGUUUUUGUUAACAAGGAAAAUAAAACCAUAUGUUGCCUAAGUAGAUGCACAAAACUUUUCUCCAAAUCCCUACAGACAAACUGUCAGCAGCAAAAGUAUUUACUUUGGUAAUGCAGCUGGGCUUAAUCCCAGCCCCAUUGUGUUUGUGCAUGCCUUUUCACCACUGAGCUCAAUAACACGCUGCUUGCGAAGAGGGUGAAUGAAUGCAUGCAGCAUGAUUUCUGUUAUUAGGCCUAUCGGUUACAUCCUGAGACAAAAGGCUGGAAUCAACAAUGGUAGCACUACAUAAGCACUGCUCAUGCUUUGAGUUAGGCUAAGUGGAAAUCUUAGUCAUAAGUCACAUCAACUAGCCAUCAGCUUGAGGUAGGCCAGCAGGACUUGGCCCAGUGGUGCGGAUCCUCAGCUGGCUUAAAUCAGCGUAAAGCCAGUGUAGUCCAAGGAGCCCCAGCUGAGGAUUCUGGCGCCUACUGUCUAUUUGUGAGCUUAGUGGUUGCUGAAUACUUAAUUUGCCAGGCUGCAAGCUGCUGCGGCUGAGCAGCUGGGGGUAGCAUAGCCUGGUGGGUCCCCAGCUGGGACCUCUGCAGGUAUAGACA
Molecule: non-coding RNA, 1137 nt
Organism: Phasianus colchicus (ring-necked pheasant)
Lineage: Eukaryota; Metazoa; Chordata; Aves; Galliformes; Phasianidae
Source: RefSeq, a predicted model, not a curated record